UUUUUCCUACGGGAGGCAGCAGUGGGGGAUAUUGCACAAUGGGGGAAACCCUGAUGCAGCGACGCCGCGUGUGGGAAGACGGUCUUCUGGAUUGUAAACCACUGUCCCCAGGGACGAAAAUGACGGUACCUGGGGAGGAAGCUCCGGCUAACUACGUGACUGCAGCCGCGGUAAUACGUAUGGUGCAAGCGUUAUCCGGAUUUACUGGGUGUAAAGGGAGCGCAGGCGGCACGGCAAGCCUGAUGUGAAAGCCCGCGGCCCAACCGCGGGACUGCAUUGGGAACUACCGGCCUGGAGUGCAGGAG
Molecule: ribosomal RNA, 305 nt
Filed under: uncultured bacterium
Lineage: Bacteria
Description: bacterial SSU rRNA
Rfam family: Bacterial small subunit ribosomal RNA
Source: RNAcentral